This 254-nucleotide ribosomal RNA is filed under the name uncultured bacterium. Its description in RNAcentral is "partial 16S ribosomal RNA". It matches the Rfam family "Bacterial small subunit ribosomal RNA", at positions 524 to 776 of the family's 1533-position model. The record is from RNAcentral.
UACGUAGGGGGCAAGCGUUGUCCGGAUUUAUUGGGCGUAAAGAGCUCGUAGGCGGUGUGUCACGUCGGCCGUGAAAACCUGCAGCUUAACUGUGGGCGUGCGGUCGAUACGGGCAUCACUGGAGUUCGGCAGGGGAGACUGGAAUUCCUGGUGUAGCGGUGAAAUGCGCAGAUAUCAGGAGGAACACCGGUGGCGAAGGCGGGUCUCUGGGACGGUACUGACGCUGAGACGCGAAAGCGUGGGGAGCGAACAGG